Molecule: long non-coding RNA, 3689 nt
Organism: Apus apus (common swift)
Lineage: Eukaryota; Metazoa; Chordata; Aves; Apodiformes; Apodidae
Exons: 3
Source: RefSeq, a predicted model, not a curated record
CAGUUGCUGUUGGGAUUCUUGGGAACUGGUGCCAGCUGCAGUGGUUUUGUGCAUGGACAAUGGAUGUAGAAGGGAAAAACAUGUAUUUUGCUGAAAGAUGGCGUUUUGCACUCAGUUGUUUUGGGUGGUUUUUUGCAGAAAUAGGUGAAAGGAAAAAAAAAUGUUCUGUGAUAAAGUCUGGUUUCUUACGUGUGUGAAAUCAAGUGGAGUUGAAACAGACUGUGGUUCCCCUUGGCAUCUGUAAAGUUGGUGUUAAAUUUAAAGGAGGAAACGAGUUUCAGUCCUCUCUUCAGUCUUGCUUUGUAGAGAAGUUAGAUAAUGCUUUUCUCUGUUUUUAGUUUGGUGAUAAUAAGGGAAGGGAACAAAAGAGCAGAGGUAAGCAGCUGUGCACCAAGUAAGUUCCCUCAGAAUGGCUGCUGUAACUUUUAAGAGCCAUUCCUAGUGUAAAUACAUUCCCCUGAAGAGGUGCAGUGUGAACAAAAACUGCACAGAAGCCUGAUUCCUGAGUGGGUGUGAAUUUACUGUAUUUCCUGCUUGGAUAUGUAUUUUGGGUUCUGUGUUGUAUUCAGGUUUUAGCAUAAAAGCACUUUGGUUUCCAAAAGGGUGGUACAAAUGGGAGACUACUGUAGUGAUUGCUCAUGUCGAGUUUAGCUUCUGGUUGCACGUAAAUCUACAUGAAACCAGUUUUGUGUGUCUCCCAGUCACAAAAGGUUUGCUUUUUCUUUCAGUGACACACAGUUGUCCUCCACACAGAGGCAGCACUUCACAGUAAUGCUGGAAAGCCUCCCGAGCUGCAACUUGUAAUUAAAAAUCACACCCUGUCAUAAAACUAUGUGCCUUCCAGGCUGAUUUAAAAAUUCAGGCUACGAACACGAUGCAUCGUGUGAUUGCCUCUCUCUUUGAGAUAUUUUAAUAAUAUUUUUUUUAAAUUUUCUGAUUGGCUUUUAAAAAGCUCUCCUGAAGAAGAGGCAGUAGAGUUUGGGCAUGUUUUUUUAUGUUUGAAGAAUAAUAAGUGUUUAUGCAUAUUUUAUUUCUGGUACAAUACUGGUGUUCUAGUAUUCUGAGCUAUGACCAGGAUGUCCCUGCAUUUGGCACAGUUGAAAAAUGCUCUGAUCCUGACAACAUUCCUGUGGCUUGGAUAAAUACAUCCUUUUACUUAGCUGUGGAAACGCAUGGUGGUGCUCAAUCCUAACAUUAAUAAGUGCUAAAGUGUAAGUACUGUAUAGUUACAAUUCAGAGCCCAAACAGCAUAAUCUUUUCUUUGUACUGAGGAGUCUUUUGUGGUGGUGCUCUCUGGGUUUACGCUACGGAGCAGUGUAUUUAUCUGUGUUUACACUAGCAAAGCAAGGAGAAAGGAAAAGCAGUGGGGAAAUUUUAAAGCAAAUGCAUGUUUCCUUUCACCCUGAUGUGCACUACAUCCUGGGAUGCUCCAGGGUGAAAUAAAAUAAGUGACUGCAUGUCAAGUUGAUGUCUGCUGGCUCUCUUUAAGUACCUCAUGUUCAACAGCAAGUAUUUCUGAGCAUUUAUGAGGAUUACAAUCCUGUGCAUAACUACUGAAGCCAGGGAGCUCAUCUUCUAUAUUAUUGUUCAUCCUGGACUUAAGAGAGCAGAAUUCCUACUAGCAACUCAGGGGGAUGCUAGGUAAGAAUCCUUUAAAAUCAGUUAAAAAAGUUUUCAGCUUAAGUGGAAACCUCAAAAGGUUGCCUUGAGAAUUAAGAGGAAGUUUAGAUCAAGAUCUCUUUGUGAUCUGAAGAGUUAGAAAGCAAAAGGUGAUGACAUUACAGGGCUGAGAGAUGCUAAAUAUUUGUUAUAUUCAGUGACUAAUGGUGGAGAGACAGUGAUCAUGAUGCAGGCUAUGAAUGGGCCAACCUCCCAGGUUUCAAAGGUUUGCACCUUUUUUUUUCUUUUUUUUUUUUUUUCCCCCCAGAUUGCUUUUUGGUUCAGAAAACUCUUGAAUAUGUGCCAGUCUCUCUACCCCGCUUUUAAAUUUAACCCACUUUAGGAAAAAAUCUAGAGCAGAGCCCAUAUUCUCCAAUAUCUGUUUUAUGCUUUCUGGUUUCAACUCUUACUACUUUCUGCAAUACUUUCUUAUUUAUUACUAUUUGACAGUCCCUUUUCUCUGUUUUAUAGUUAGUUCUAAGCAAGUGGUAAAAGCAAUGAUGUCUGAGGAUGUCAAACUCUUCAGGUCUAUACAAUCCAGUGGUUCCAGCCCAAUGCAGAUAUGUUGUGCACAAACCUUCUGUGCUGCCCAUGGCCUCUUCCCUGGAACACAAUGGGCAGCACAGCUUACUGGGCACUGCCACCAGUGUCUCCUGGAAAUGCUGUGUUAGGAUGUGGGUUCUGAAUCACUGCCUGACUCUGGGCAAAACACCGACAACUGAAUUUCCAGUGUUCAAUAACGUGACGUGCUUCAGUAGCUGGCAGCUCAGCUGGAGACAUGGAAACGUCUCAAGUUUGAAAUGAAAGACAUUAUCAAGUUAUCAGGAAUACAAUGAUCCCCCACUGGCAAGGUAUCUUGGGAGAGAACUGUGAUGCUUUUGUUCACUGAACAAAACCUGAUUCAUCACUUUCCUUACAUCAUCACCCAGCUCUCUAGCUUCCCUCCAGAGAUUGGUAUGGCUUUUUAGGAGAAGAAAAGCAGACCCUAGAAAUGAAGCUGAAAUUCUUCUGCCUUAUAUGACAGCUGGUUCAGACUCCUUGUGAUAAGAAGUGGGGUACUGGCAAGUACUGGUGACACAGCAGUGAGUAGGCUGAGCCCAGCAGAACAAUGGGGUGGCUGGAGACUAGUGAACCUAUUGUUUUUCCAUGCUCUCUGCAGGAGUCCAGGGUUUUGAGCAGUGUGUUUACCCCAGAUACAACAACAUAAUUAAGUGACAGUGGCAUGAUUAAUAAAAAGAUGCAUGAAACGAGCUGCAAGCACUUGUCAAGCACAGGCCUGUGAAGUGACAAAGAAGGAAACUAACUGCUUAGGAGAGAAAGUCAGUGGAGAGAAACCCUGUGCAGAAGGGUCUCUGUAAACUUUGUAAGCCUGACCAGAGCAAAAAAUGCUUGAGUAACAAUCAUAAGUACAUGCAUGUCCUUUGUUUGGCUGGACAUGCUUUUUCUUUCUAAAGAGAAGUCAUUACCAUGUUCAGGAAUCCUUGCACGAACCAAUAGCUUUAAACUAAAAGCUUUACAGCAAAAAAGCCUGCUAUUUUUAAAAUGGCAUUGUAGUCUGAACCUUGUGAACAAUUGUAUCAGUAAGUUGAGCUCCUCUGUGGUGCCAGAGAAAGGGCUUUCAUCUGGGAGGGCUCCAUCAGCUGUGACAUUUGGUCUUCAUCCUGGGCUGGCUGGUGUUUGGGAGAAGACAGGCCCAGUGUUACACCAACAACAACCACCGGAGUGUACAGCAAGUUUUGAGAGAAGUUAACAUGGACAUGUUCUAUCAACCUUUUUCUUCUGGUGUUUUGAAAACCCCGGGUACUUGGACAAGGGUGAUUUUGCAAAGCAGAAUGUGGACAGAUGCCCACUCUUUUAUUUUAGUAUUUCUGCUUUAUAGAGUUAAGACAUUGUGUUGAGGCUACAUGUUAUUAGUAUCUAUGUCUAUGAAUGCUUCAGUUCUCAUUAGAGGUGGAAGGAAUAAAGCAAUUGCUAAGUUGGCUAGCCCAACCCUUGUGAGCUACAGGAUUUUCCAGUUCAGUCUAUUCCCU